This 330-nucleotide ribosomal RNA is filed under the name uncultured eukaryote. RNAcentral describes it as "partial 18S ribosomal RNA". It matches the Rfam family "Eukaryotic small subunit ribosomal RNA", at positions 1470 to 1796 of the family's 1831-position model. The record is from RNAcentral.
CCCUUAGACGUUCUGGGCCGCACGCGCGCUACACUGACCAGUGCAACAAGCAUCCGUCCUUGGCCGACAGGCUCGGGCAAUCUUUGAACGCUGGUCGUGAUGGGGAUAGACUUUUGCAAUUUUUGGUCUUCAACGAGGAAUUCCUAGUAAACGCAAGUCAUCAACUUGCAUUGAUUACGUCCCUGCCCUUUGUACACACCGCCCGUCGCUCCUACCGAUUGAAUGGUCCGGUGAAAAUUUCGGAUACCGGCAUUGCUGGCGGUUCGCCGCCGGCGACGCUGGUAGAAGAUCUUUAAACCUUAUCAUUUAGAGGAAGGAGAAGUCGUAACA